RNAcentral lists this transfer RNA (90 nucleotides) under Patescibacteria group bacterium. Its description in RNAcentral is "tRNA-OTHER". The record is from RNAcentral.
GGGAGGGUGAAGUUGGCCGGGCCAACCUUUGAUUGAUACUCAAAAGGUGCGUUUCAUACACGUAUGCGGUUCGACUCCGCCGCCCUCCGA